UGCGUUUGUGCUUAUAAAAUAUUGUCUAGUGUCUAUUGUUUUAUCCCCCCUCACCUUGACACAGAUCUAGUCCGAGUUCAUUAUCUAUAUUAAUACCUAUAAAAACAAAUCACAUUACAAAAAAAUUUCAAUACUGUUAUAAUGUCAUGCUUUGCUUAUCUAUUUUUUAUUAAAUUUACUGUGUUUAGUAAGAUGCAUAUAUACUGUAAACCGGUUAAGAUGCAUAUCAACCGUUACAGUACAUCUGUAAAGCUGUUAUAGUAUAUAAAAUGUACAUCCGUUUAGAUUCAUAUUUACUGUACAUCUGUGAAAAUAUAUAUACUGUAAACCAACUUAUUUUCGCGGGAAAUUUAUUUGCACGACUAUCGCGAGUAGAAAAAUAACGCGAAUAUAAAUUGUCGCGAAUAUGCGAAACUUAGAUCUUUCC
Molecule: long non-coding RNA, 427 nt
Filed under: Mytilus galloprovincialis (Mediterranean mussel)
Lineage: Eukaryota; Metazoa; Mollusca; Bivalvia; Mytilida; Mytilidae
Source: RNAcentral